GCUUGUCUCAAAGAUUAAGCCAUGCAUGUCUAAGUAUAAACAAAUCUAUACGUGAAACUGCGAAUGGCUCAUUAUAUCAGUUAUAGUUUAUUUGAUGGUUCUUGCUACUUGGAUAACCGUAGUAAUUCUAGAGCUAAUACAUGCGUCAAACCUCGACUUCUGGGAGAGGUGUAUUUAUUAGAUGGAAACCAAUGCGGGGCAACCCGGUAUAUGGUGAUUCAUAAUAACUUUCGGAUCGAUCUUCGGAUCGAUGCAUCAUUCAAGUUUCUGCCCUAUCAACUGUCGACUGUGAUAUAGACGCUCACAGUGGUUUUGACGGGUAACGGGGAAUCAGGGUUCGAUUCCGGAGAGGGAGCCUUAAAAACGGCUACCACAUCCAAGGAAGGCAGCAGG
Molecule: ribosomal RNA, 393 nt
Filed under: uncultured Chrysophyceae
Lineage: Eukaryota; Chrysophyceae
Description: partial small subunit ribosomal RNA
Rfam family: Eukaryotic small subunit ribosomal RNA
Source: RNAcentral